This 3942-nucleotide long non-coding RNA is filed under the name Marmota monax (woodchuck). Lineage: Eukaryota; Metazoa; Chordata; Mammalia; Rodentia; Sciuridae. The record is from RNAcentral.
CUUCGGUCGCCGCCGGCGGGCGCCCCCGAGGCCCGUAGGCCCCCGGCCCCCGCCACCCCAGCGCCGGCCCCACUCACCCUUUCAUUCUCCGCCCCGGGCCUGGCGUGGGCCGGCAAAUCCCCGGCCUCACGUAAGCGCGCUCGCCGCCCGCCCUGCCUGCGCGGCCCAGCCCGCCGCCCUACGGGAGCCCGGGGAUGUGGGCCGGGCCUGGGGCCGCCUCUGCUUACCUUUCAGCUGCUUUUUUUUUUUUUUUUUUUUUUCCUUCCUCCUUCCCCCCUUUUCCCUCGGCUGGGCUGACAGAUCAGAGUGAGAGGCGCUGGCAAUGGACUAGGAAGCUCGGCUGCCGCUGCUAUUGCUCCCCCCUGGGCUUCAGUGAGAGCCUUUCCCUGUCAAGCAAGAGGGGUGAGGAUCAUAUUUUUAUUUUGGAAAGUAAAAAGUGCUCCCAGGGUCGGUGAUUAUUAAGGGGAAAUCCCUGAAUAUACUCUCCAGCCAAGAAGGCAGGGCUGCCGGGGCUGCACAAGAAGAGGCAGCAGCCUCCUACAGCACCACUACAGGCACUGCGAGGACAUAACACCAGAGAGUGGCUCCUCUGCCCUCCGAAACGACAACUUUCCUACCAUCUUGGAGGCAGAGCAAAGGGGGGCCAGGGGGAAAAGUGCACUCUCUCCCUGAUAAAGUGCACAUUUCUACUUCUCACCUCUGGAAAAAAGUCCACACCGGCCGUCGACACCAGCGCCUGAGGGAGAAAGCAGGGAAGAAACUGAGGGUUCAUGAGAAACGUGUGCAUUUGCUCCAGGGGGGAAAAUGUUUCUGCAUCUUCUGAUGGGAAGAAAUCUUUACAAGACACAGGUUUUCCGGUGAUUAUUGUUUUCUCUUUUCUAUCUUAAUUUUUUUCCAUGUUAGUGAAAGUCGUAUUUUUUUUUUAAAGUCAGUAAUGAUUUUUGUCCAUUACAGGUUUAAGUUCUGUGGCUGGUGGACAGUUUAUAAAUCUGUACUUCAAGAGACUUCAUAGUUAUUUUGUCUAUUUAUUUUUGUUACUCUAUAUAUAAAUGUUUGUGUUUUCAUAUAUAAACAUACACAUAUGUCUGUAUUACGUAUUCUAAACUGAGAUUGCUGUAAGACAAUUGUAAAGAGAUGUCUUUUGUCUCCUCCUUGCAAAGCAAUGUAAAUAAAACCUAUUGACUGUCCAGAAAGGCAUAAUACAGCUAUUUAUUUUUCACAGUGCAAAUAAAAGCAGACAUCACUGGAGGUUUAAAUCCAACCCCAGUGUAUAACUGACCAUGUUUCUGGAAAUAAUCCUAAUUCUGUUGUGGUCUGCCCAUGAAGGAAGAAUACUGUAAACCUGGAAAUAGAUUUUUAAACUCAGCUUUAGGUUUCUUAAGGAAAAUUAUUAAGAUUGAUAGGUGGUCAUUUCGUUUUUAUCUAUCUAGAGUCCUUAAAGUUUAGGUCUUUGUAUUACAUAUGUUGCUGUCUGCAUCCUGUAUCACAGAAUUGAGAAAUCUGUUAUUUUUGUUAAAGUUGAAAUGUUAGUUCAGAACUUUAACUGUGUUGCCGGUCUGUAUGAAUGAGUUUUCAUAUAUUACAACGAAUGUCAUGAAGCUGUUGUUUUUUUUUUUGUUUUUGUUUUUGUUUUUUUAAUGAACAAAGCAUGGUAGGUUAAUAGGAUGAAAAAUAAACAAUAUUGAGGUAGUGCAAAAGUGAUAGAAGGGCAUUGCCUAUUUGCAUCAGUUCCAAGAGAAUUCUUAUUGGAGAAAAAUGAAUUAUACAGACUUUUUCCAUUUUUGUGAAGAGAGAGAAGAAUGGUAGAAAAUGACCAGACUGUCUUUAUGUAUGUUCUACAGGGAAUGAGGAAUGGAAUUUUGUACUAAAAGAUAUUUUUUCUAACACAUGUUGGCUAACCUCAUGGGAAUGAAUUUGUAGUAUUAGUGCCUUGGAUCAGUAGUAAGUAACUUAUGACUCCACAUAAAAAUGUCUAUUUUUUGAGCUCCCGAAUUCAGAAAUUGUUAUAUAACUUUAAGGUGAGUUCAGUUAAUGCACAUAUCAGGUAUUCACUCUGCCUUGCUGAACCCCAUCUUUAUUAUCUAAAUUUGAAUAUAAUACCUGAAUAUCCGAAUUAUUUUUGUGGUUUUUGCCUCCCUCUUUAAUAGGGAAAAAAAAAAGUAAGUAAAAUUAACUGGUUUAUUUAUUUAUUUAGUUGUUUAUUGUACUGGGGAUUGAAACCAGGGUGCUUUACCACUGAGCCACAUCCCCAGCCCUUUUUAUUUUUUAUUUUGAGAUAGGGCCUUGCUAAAUUGCUGAGACUGGUUUGGAACUUUGGGUCCUCCUGCCUCUGCCUCCAGAGCCACUGCCAACUUAACUGGUUCUUAACAUCUUUGAAGCCUCAGUUGUGAACUUUGCUUUACUUAUUUGUUUUUAACAUUUGGAGAUAAACACAGUGGUCAUUGCAAGGAAACUAUUUCCCUUUACUUAGACCUCUAGUGAACUUGAAAACCAUGUUUGCUAAAAGCUUGUUUUUCCUUAUAUAUGAUAUAACUUUAUAGAUGAUGUUUUCAGUGUUUCAAGAAAUUCAGAUGUAUUUGUUUGCCUUAAGCUGGCUGUAUCUUUUUAUGCAAUCCCUUUUGUCACCCAAGAGACAUGUGCUUGCAUGAUGUCUAUCAGGCUAAUACUGUACUUGUAUAAUCACAGGAUUUCAGUGCUUUCUCUUUAUAAAGGUUGACUUGUACAUGGGUAUAAACUAUUUAUUCAUCAUCCUAGCCAACUAGUCAAAAUUUGGGGGAUUGCUGCUCAACUAAGAAGAAUCCCACUGAAUUUGCAAUAUUGGUGAAUUUGGUCACUUGUUUCCGUUGUUAACUCAUUUCAGGCACCCUCAAUUCUUAGAAGCAAAAGUGCUAAAAAAAAAAAAAAAGCUGUCAUAAUUUAGGAGCACUUUUUUUUCCUCCAGCAAAAUUCUCACUACUCAAAUUUGGCUAACUUUUGAAAAGGGGUCUUGCUCUGUUGCCAACACCUGGGCUCAAGUGAUCCUCCCACUUCAACCUCCUUAGUAGCUUGAAUUAGUCAAAUACCUGCCUGUCACCACCCUGCUGGCUCACAUUGGUAACUUUGCUAGAUAGUUUUGUUUUGUUUUUUUUUGUUUUGUUUUGUUUUGUUUUAAAGAGAGAGAGAGAGAGAGAAUUUUAAUAUUUAUUUUUUAGUUCUUGGCAGACACAACAUCUUUGUAUGUGGUGCUGAGGAUCGAACCCGGGCCGCACGCAUGCCAGGCGAGCAUGCUUCCGCUUGAGCCACAUCCCCAGCCCGAUACUUUUUUAAAAAGUAGUUUUAAUUGUAGAUGGACACGAUACCUUAAUUUUAUUUAUUUAUUUUUAUGUGGUGCUGAGGAUCAAGCUCUGUGCUAGGUGAGCGCUGUACUUCAACUGAGUUACAAUUCCAACCCUGCUAGAUACCUUUAUGUAUGUAUUCUCAUUUAAUUCCCACAGGAGCUCCAAAAAGUUUUAUGCUAUUUUUUUCCUUUUAUUUUUUUAAGACAGGAUAGUUGUCUAAUUUGUCAGAGUGUGAAAUUUCUUGGCUCAAUAAAAUUCUAGGUUCUGCCCUGCAGUUUCCAAGGUGCCUACUAAAAUGCCAUGGGUCUAGAAAUCCUAGGUUCCUGACCACUGUGCUUUGCCAAAAACAAUUUUAGUCACCUGCUACUGGAGCCCUCUUUCAUUCAUUAGUUAACUAGUAGCUUAUUUCACCUUCCUGAAGUGUAGUGCCUAAAUCUAUCAAUUGUUUUGAAGAAUGCAAAAAGGUUAAUAUUUGUCAGUGAAAUGCACUGUGAGCCAGGUGCAGUAGCAUACACCACACCUAUAGUCCCAGCAACUACGGAGGCUGAGGCAGGGCAAGUUCUAAGCCAGCAUGGGCAAUUUAGCAAGAUCCUGUCUUAAAAUUUAAAUAAUAAUAGUAAAUGGG